Molecule: precursor RNA, 258 nt
Filed under: Crithidia fasciculata
Lineage: Eukaryota; Euglenozoa; Kinetoplastea; Trypanosomatida; Trypanosomatidae
Description: partial precursor ribosomal RNA
Rfam family: Eukaryotic small subunit ribosomal RNA (bases 203-258)
Source: RNAcentral
CGCUAUAUAAGUAUCAGUUUCUGUACUUUAUUGCCAAAAAACAACAAAAAUACAACACAAAGAUCAUCAAUGCGCGACGCGCUGCGCACAACACACAUGCAUACACACACCAACGCACACACAUGGAAGGGGAAAUCUUCUUCUGUGUGUUGCGCGUGUUGUGUGUGUGUGUGGUGCGUGCGGCAACUCGACACACAAUUGAGAUCUGGUUGAUUCUGCCAGUAGUCAUAUGCUUGUUUCAAGGACUUAGCCAUGCAU